Molecule: long non-coding RNA, 200 nt
Filed under: Elaeis guineensis (African oil palm)
Lineage: Eukaryota; Viridiplantae; Streptophyta; Magnoliopsida; Arecales; Arecaceae
Description: long non-coding RNA (EGUI_LNC075713)
Source: RNAcentral
GUUCGGAUCCAGGAAGGUAAUGUAUUGAGAAUAAUUUCUCUUCUAGUGCCCUUUCUUCUUGCAGUAGAAGCAUUCUGUCUGACUCUGAUCGAACUUGGAUUUCUUGGUCUGACAGGACUUGGGUGCCCCAGCACUUUGCACCCUUUUCUUGUUCUUCUUGUUGUUCUUUCCUUUCUUAAAGGGUCGACAUCCAGAAGAAG